UACACCUUAGUAUAUGAUGUACAGGGAUUUUUGAGGUCCUUAGAACUAGUUUAAUCUAGUAGAUGUAA
Molecule: transfer RNA, 68 nt
Filed under: Odontolabis cuvera fallaciosa
Lineage: Eukaryota; Metazoa; Arthropoda; Insecta; Coleoptera; Lucanidae
Description: tRNA-Gln
Source: RNAcentral